AUUGAACGCUGGCGGCAGGCUUAACACAUGCAAGUCGAGCGGAAGAAGCGACUUUGCCUCUGGAUUCAGCGGCGGACGGGUGAGUAAUGCCUAGGAAACUGCCUGGUAGUGUGGGAUCAAGUCCGGUAUAGGGCGCUAAUACCGCAUAUGUUCUGCGGGAGGACGUGGGGGAUCUUCGGACGUCAGGCUAUCAGAUGAGCCUAGGUCGGAUUAGCCAGUGGGUGGGGUAACGGCCUACCAAGGCGACGACCCGUAACUGCUCUGAGAGGAUGAUCAGUCACACUGGAACUGAGACACGGUCCAGACUCCGACGGGAGGCAGCAGUAGGAAAUAUUGAACAAUGGGCGAAAGCCUGAUCCAGCCAUGCCGCGGGUGUGAAGAAGGUCUUCGGAUUGUAAAGCACUUUAAGUUGGGAGGGAGAGCAGUAAGUUAAUACCUUGCUGUUUUGACGUUACCAACAGAAUAAGCACCGGCUAACUUCGUG
This 484-nucleotide ribosomal RNA is filed under the name uncultured bacterium. RNAcentral's name for it is "partial 16S ribosomal RNA". It matches the Rfam family "Bacterial small subunit ribosomal RNA", at positions 30 to 507 of the family's 1533-position model. The record is from RNAcentral.